Molecule: long non-coding RNA, 1200 nt
Filed under: Canis lupus familiaris (dog)
Lineage: Eukaryota; Metazoa; Chordata; Mammalia; Carnivora; Canidae
Description: lncRNA (ENSCAFG00845016837.1)
Source: RNAcentral
AAACAAAAGGGGUCCUUUCCACUCCUGCCCGCUUCCAGCUCCCUCCCUCCCCUCCAUCACUACUAGGUCCGGAGGGUCAGGUCUUGGAGGCGGAAUCCUGGAGUGCAAACCCUCUUCGGCUGAAGAAAGUUCUGCUAUUUUUAAGCGGGUGAAGCCUGCCCCGGUGUCAGGGGCGCCCCGAGCCCCUUCUGAGGCUGGAGGGCAACGUGGACGGAGCUGCAGGGCAGCCUCCAGAAUCCAAGGCUUAGAUCCGCCUGGAGAGGAUGCUGGGGUGCAGCCGCUGAAUGCCACAACGGGGGGCCAGCAGAGUGCUCCCCCCACCCCCACCCCUAUGGGUGCUCCGGGUUCAGGCGGACCGGCAGUUCUCCAGCUGGGCUAGGAGCAAAGCCUGCUAGGGCAGCGGCCACAGCCCAGCUGAGAGCAUGCCUUGCAUCCCACCCCCUUCUCUCACCUUGGGGGAGGGGGGCUUUCUCCCUGGGGACGCAGAGGGGCCUUGCCCUGCACACAGCCACCUGCACCUGGAGACCUGGGGAGCAAGGGUAAAGAGGCCGCUGGACAUCAUCCAAACUCUCGGAGAAGAACGUCCUUGCCUUCCUGCUUCAGCUCACUAAGUCACAUAUGCGUCUCUUCAGCUCCCUGGUUAAGGAUGGAAGUGCCUGGAUAGAGACUGACAUUGUGCACUUUGCGGAAUUUAUUUAUUUAUUCAUGAGAGACAUGGAGAGAGAGAGGCAGAGACACAGGCAGAGGGAGAAGCAGGCUCCAUGCAGGGGCCCGACGUGGGACUGGAUCCCAGGACUCCGGGAUCACGACCUGGGCUGAAGGCAGGCGCUCAACCGCUGAGCCACUCAGGUAUCCCAACUCAGAGACUUUCUGUGGCCGGGUCAGAGUCCCUUACCUUUCGUAAAGCAUCCACUUGGACACAAAAAGGAAGGUUCCAUGUGAUUUUGUGAACUGAAGAAAGCCACAGGUUGGGAGCAACUGGGACUCAACUCAUUCAAAAAGGAUAUCAGGGAGCAUUUGCAGGCUGCAGGUAGACCCAAACCCUCCUGACAUGCUCCGGACUUAGCCUCCCUAUGCCAGACCCAACCACGGCUGUGUAUCCUGCUUGAAAACAAAAACACAGAGACAAAGAUGUUCAGUCAAACCAACAUUUACUCAAGGGUUAGAAACCUGGAGAUCUACUGUGUUGGUCGGGAAGCC